AUGCCAGGGCACUUACAGGAAGGCUUCGGCUGACUGGUCACCAACCUAUUCGACCAGUUAUUUGACGACGAAUCGGACCCCUUCGAGGUGUUGAAGGCAGCGGAGAACAAGAAAAAAGAAGUUGGCGGUGGCGGCGUUGGGGGCCCUGGAGCCAAGAGCGCAGCUCAGGCCGCGGCGCAGACCAACUCCAACGCGGCAGGCAAGCAGCUGCGCAGAGUCCCAGAAAAACCGCAAGAACCCCCUGCCCCCCAGCGUUGAUGUGGUUGACAAGAAAGAGGAGACGCAGUCGCCCGUGGCGCCUAAGAAAGAAGGAAUAAGACAAGUUGGAAGAAGACCUGAUCAACAACUUCAGGGUGAAGGGAAAAUAAAUUGAUGGAAGACCAGAAAGGCGACCACCUCGUGAACGAAGAUUUGAAAAGCCACUUGAAGAAAAGGGUGAAGGGGGCGAAUUUUCAGUUGAUAGACCGAUUAUUGACCGACCUGUUCGAGGUCGUGGUGGUCUUGGGGGCUGUGGACGUGGAAUGGGCCUAGGAGAUGGAUUUGAUUCUCGUGGCAAACGUGAAUUUGACAGGCAUAGUGGAAGUGAUAGAUCUUUUUCACAUCACAGUGGCCUGAAGCACGAGGACAAAUGUGGAGGUAGCGGAUCUCACAACUGGGGAACUGUCAAAGACGAAUUAACUGACUUGGAUCAAUCAAAUGUGACUGAGGAAACACCUGAAGGUGAAGAACAUCAUCCAGAGGCAGACACUGAAAAUAAGGAGAAUGAAGUUGAAGAGGUAAAAGAGGAGGGUCCAAAAGAGAUGACUUUGGGUGAGUGGAAGGCUAUUCAAAAUAAGGACCGGGCAAAAGUAGAAUUUAAUAUCCGAAAACCAAAUGAAGGUGCAGAUGGGCAGUGGAAGAAGGGAUUUGUUCUUUAUAAAUCAAAGAGUGAAGAGGCUCAUGCUGAAUAUUCAGUUACGGACCAUCAUUUCCGGAAGCCAGCAAAUGAUAUAACAUCUCAGCUAGAGAUCAAUUUUGGAGAUCUUGGCCGCCCAGGACGUGGUGGCAGGGGAGGAUGAGGUGGACGUGGACGUGGUGGGCGCCCAAACCGUGGCAGCAGGACAGACAAGUCAAGUGCUUCUGCUCCUGAUGUGGAUGACCCAGAGGCAUUCCCAACUCUGGCUUAACUGGAUGCCAUAAGACAACCCUGGUUCCUUUGUGAACCCUUCUGUUCAAAGCUUUUGCAUGCUUAAGGAUUCCAAACGACUAAGAAAUUUAAAAAAAAAAAAAGAGAGAGAGAGAGAGAAAGAGAGACUGUCAUUCAUACCAUUCACACCUAAAGACUGAAUUUUAUCUGUUUUAAAAAUGAACUUCUCUCGCUACACAGAAGUAACAAAUAUGGUAGUCAGUUUUGUAUUUAGAAAUGUAUUGGUAGCAGGGAUGUUUUCAUAAUUUUCAGAGAUUAUGCAUUCUUCAUGAAUACUUUUGUAUUGCUGCUUGCAAAUAUGAUUUCCAAACUUGAAAUAUAGGUGUGAACAGUGUGUACCAGU
Cebus imitator (Panamanian white-faced capuchin) is the source of this 1529-nucleotide RNA transcript. It is a transcript of the gene named plasminogen activator inhibitor 1 RNA-binding protein-like, with no coding region annotated. Lineage: Eukaryota; Metazoa; Chordata; Mammalia; Primates; Cebidae. The record is from RefSeq and is a predicted model, not a curated record. The transcript has a single exon.